UAUUCACUGUGCAUGGAAUGUGUGCACCUGCAUGUCAUAUUGUUACUAGAGCUGGAAAAUGGUUCCUUUGAACUCUCUUAACCAUACUUCGUCUCGGAUGUUUCAUACAGCUCUGGGAAACACACAGAGACAAAUGCAUUGAUCCGAGCACUGGUCUGUUUCGUGAGGGCUCAGGAAACUCUAAGCUCUUUCAAAACCCAUGUGCCGAUGUCCUUGGCUUUCCAAAUAGUACCUACAACUUCUGAGGUAGAGUAUAAUUUUGCACCAACCUAACAACAAAGUGGUAGGCUGUUAUUAUGCAAAAGUGUUGAUUUCUUUCGAAACCUCUUCUGGCCAUUCCUCUCAGAGGACUGGCAGUUAUAAGUGGCUUAUAACUUUAUGUUAAUACAUGCUUUGCACGCAAUGUCAUUCCUACUUGUUCUGGCCAAGAAGUACAAGUUUGAAGGUGUGAAAUUUAUGCUGCAGAAGGUACGAGCACAGGAGCAUGGUACGGAGUAAUGACUGCUGAUGUAACGAAAAUGCAAGCCGCUCAUCGGGGAGAUAAAAAAAGUACUGGGUGGCCUCUUGGCCAUGUCUGAUAUUUGCCGCUAGUACCGCAAAUAAUUCCCAUAUUACACACUUGAGUACCUAUGCAUACCAUGAUUUGAAAGACACUCAGAGUGGGAAUGAAGAGGACCAUCAGUUUACUUUAUUUAAAAAAAAGACUGCAUUUAUUGUACUUUACUUCAACUGCAUCUCGCCCUGUAUACUUACUACUCAACUUGAUGUACAUGAUUACUCCAACUUCACUUCAAGUAGUUUUUAGAUAUGCUUUACUUUAUGAAACACUGCUUAAAACUUUAAAUGGACACUAACUCAGACAAUUAAGUUAGGCUGACAGUCAGGUUUGGUGCUGUAGUGUAGAGGUUAAUAGUUGGGCACUCUCAGCUAUCUGGGCAGGUUCUUGCCAAGUUCAUGAACCAGCAGGCGCAGAACAUCGUGCAGAAGAUGGCCGGGGCCAGAAUUCAGCGGGAGUACUAGGGGACAACAAUGAAGGCUUCUUCAAGCGCUGGCUGGACCAUCAAAAGUUCCACCAGCCAUGCUCUGUGAGGUUGAGUUUCCUCCACUUUGCUCUCCCGCUGCUUCCGCACCACCUCUGCCACUUGCUUCUGCUGCUUCCUCCCCUGAGAGUACCUGUGCACCUUGUGAAGCAGCUGCUGAUGAGGUGCAGAGAUGUCAAAAUCUACAGGCUCUCCUGAACCAGGUGCUUGCAUGGCCUCUGAGCUCGUUUUGGACAGAAGCCAACCAGUUGUCACAUAUGGAAAGGCUGAGCGGAGGCACAGACGAGGCAAGCCUUCUGAUGUGCCAGUGAAGUAGAGCCGUGGUGCUGGGUUAGGCUGGUUGGUGGUGUUUGAGUCCACAGCAAGGACAGUCAGGUAGGGCAAACCUGGGAGAGCAUGCCUCUUGCUAAUGCAGAGGAGUGCCUGAAAGCCACAUCUUCAAGGAGCACAGCUUCUUUGAGUGGAAAGGCUAUGCUCCGUUCCACCUUCGGUCUCAGCGCAGUGGACGCCACAAGCCAUUCCAGCCGAUCCAGCACCAGGAGAAAAUCGCGUGACCUGCCUGUUGGGCAGAGCGACACCCGUAGCUCAAGGUCACAUGCCACCCUCUCAACGCUGGAUUGGCUGGGAUGGCUCCUAUAGCGUCCACUGCGCUUGGACUGAAGGUGAAACGGAGUAUAGUGCAGGGGAGUGCCCGAAAACCACUUCCUUUGGAAGCACAGCUUUUGGAGGGAACGGUGAGUGUGAAGCUAGUGCAGAGGAGUGCCCAAAAGCCACUUCCUUGGGAAGCACAGCUUCUGUAAAGGCCUGCGAGCAAGCAGCCCUUGUCACUGCCGAUGCUUCGGGUAGAAAAGCUAGUGCAGAAUGCCUAAAACCACUUUCUUGGAAGUUGCAGCUUGUGCAGAGAAUGGUGAGCAUGAAGCUAGUGUAGAGGAGUGCCCAAAAGCCUCUUCCUCGGGGAGCACAGCUCCUGUAAAGACAUGGGAGCAAGCAGCCCGUGCCACUGGCAAUGCUUCGGGUGGGAAAGCUAGUGCAGAGAAGUGCUUAAAAGUCACUUCCUCGGGGAGCACAGCUGUAGAGGCUGGUAAGUGGGUGGCCUUUGAAGUGACUGAAACCAAGGUAACGUGCCCUUUCCAAAGCACGGUGGGAGGAGGAAAGCAGCGUGGGUGAAGUACAAGAGCACGAAGCGAGGGUCUCGCAGGCUGUGUAAGGCACUAAACCAUACUGCCACUAUUGCAUCUCCCCACAAUUGCUUGGGAUGGAGUAGACCCUGCAUAGGGUGCCUCUGUUCUUUGUAUGUGUCCGAUAAUCCAUUGUCUGGCUUGGGGGAGGACAGCCCAGCAUGUGCGACAAAGAGCAGGGCCACUGGAGGCAAGCAUCCCGUCACAGCCCUGCUGCAGAACCAUUUUCCUGCAGGCCUAGUUUAGCAACUAUCCAACCUAUCUAGCAGCAUUUGAAGACUGGACCAAAAAAGGGUUGCAUGUAUUUUUUAAAAAAAAAGGUCAAAGACAUGUUCACUAGUUCAAUCUGAUGAAUUUAAGUACUCCAUGGUUGAGUUCAUCUAGUCAAACCAACAGCUAACUCCUUGGCCCAAUGCGGUGAACGAGGGCUAAAUGAAAAAUUGAUUGAUAUUAAGGCGUUUCUUUUGCAACCUUCCCUAGCAACCAGGUGCAGCUCUUGCCAUAGUCUGUUGCACCCUGUGCAGCUUGAGAGGAUGUAUCUCAGCAGCGGCUAAUAGACAACAAUCGGUGGGGCAACCUUUUCCGAAAAACUGUGCAUUAGUUUGAUCAAACGCAGGAGGCAGACCACGAAAUGUGACAGUUAUAAGCAUGCACUUUCUGGAAUGCUCCACAACAAGGCACUUCGCCUUAGUACGAUAUGGGGCAGAGUUAAUUCCUCUCUACAGAAGUUAUUUACUUACUGAAAAAGAACGGGCAUGUGUAAGAUCCAACAGUUCUCUGUCUGAUAGUGUUAUGAAUAUUGUGCGUAAAUGUUUUACGUAACACAUAAAACAUUUCCACAUUGGGGUACUUUUCAAGCUGUUCUGUUAGCUGAGGGACUAAACUUCAAACAGGUGAGAGAUGCUUUCAUUCAGCUAUUGCAUACAAGAGUUCCAGACCAUUGGCAGUGAUGUGAUACUUGUGCCAAAGUACUACAUCUUGCUACAUUUGACCAAAAUCUGAGGAACUCGAGCCAACAUUGCGCCAAAACUUAAUUUUAACAACUUGCAAUUUGGCCGGAACGAUAGGAUUGUGUGAGUUUGCAGAUCUUUAGAAUAUUACGUCAUAUAACAUACUAACUCUGUCUGAUUUCGCAUCAAACACAGACAUUACUCGUGUAAGCGAGUGCCAUUGUGUUUUGCCUUUUUUCUUGUAUUUUGCCGGGCGCAUCCCUGAAGUCGCCUACGAAGCUCAGAGGGCACGAAUGUUGUGUUCUUAAAGGCUUGUGUUAACACUGACUCCUCGGCAUUAGGGGUCUCAAACAUGGAUUCCAGCGCCAUGAAGAUACAACUGGCUGGCGUCGAACCGGAUGCGGCAUGUGCCAGCCAGGAGAGACCAAGCACCGCGAGAGAACUAUACAGCAGUCUACCUGUGGGACUCUGAGCAAGAGCAUUGUGCGAUGGUGGUCUUUUGGAGGAGCCCGACUGCUAGAGAGCGUGCUCUAAGGUGUUGGAUAGAGAAACGGCUUCUGUCAGGAAGUUGUGAAAACAACUUCCAACUACAAGAUAAGCAUUCAUGCCCACGGACCAACAAGCUUCUUUUUUUUUGUUGUUAAUGUUCCUUUUUCUUUUUAGUUUGCAUUUAGUUCAUUUCUUUUUUUGUGCUUGUGGUAGGUCUUAUUUUGUUGAAAUAAACUUUUUGCAUCCAUUUCA
Molecule: long non-coding RNA, 3909 nt
Filed under: Ixodes scapularis (black-legged tick)
Lineage: Eukaryota; Metazoa; Arthropoda; Arachnida; Ixodida; Ixodidae
Description: uncharacterized LOC121837678
Source: RNAcentral